CCUACGGGAGGCAGCAGUAGGGAAUCUUCCACAAUGGGCGCAAGCCUGAUGGAGCAACACCGCGUGAGUGAAUAAGGGUUUCGGCUCGUAAAGCUCUGUUGUUGGAGAAGAACGUGCGUGAGAGUAACUGUUCACGCAGUGACGUUCUCCAACCAGAACGUCACGGCUAACUACGUGCCAGCAGCCGCCGUCAUACGACGGGGGCAAGCAUUAUCCGGAUUUCUUGGGCGUAAGGCGAGCGCAGGCGGUUGCUUAGGUCUGAUGGGAAAGCCUUCGGCUUAACCGAAGAAGUGCAUCGGAAACCGGGCGACUUGAGUGCAGAAGAGGACAGUGGAACUCCAGGUGUAGCGGUGGAAUGCGUAGAUAUAGGGAAGAACACCAGUGGCGAAGGCGGCUGUCUGGUCUGCAACUGACGCUGAGGCUCGAAAGCAUGGGUAGCGAACAGGAUUAGAUACCCCAGUAGUC
RNAcentral lists this ribosomal RNA (465 nucleotides) under uncultured bacterium. Its description in RNAcentral is "partial 16S ribosomal RNA". It matches the Rfam family "Bacterial small subunit ribosomal RNA", at positions 338 to 795 of the family's 1533-position model. The record is from RNAcentral.